CAACCCCUGAAGCAAACACCAUCUCGACAACUUUUGUACCACCAUCAUUUGAGUCCAAUAAUUUCGAUCAGUCUUUUGGAGAUCCUUUUGGAGAUUCACCAUUCAAGGCCGAUACUUCUGCUGAAACUAUUCCAUCUCAACAAUGUAACUAACCGAAAAAUCAGAGUUAAAUCAAAAAUUCCAGUUCAACAAUACAGGGAAGAAAUAUUAGAAAGAGGAAAUUGUGAUAACAAAAAAGGAGAAGAAAGUUUUGCAUCAGGAAUAGAGAAGGAAUUAUUAAAUCAUAAAAUAUUCAGAAAUAGAAUUUGA
Non-coding RNA from Vicia faba (fava bean), 309 nucleotides. NCBI's taxonomy places the organism in Eukaryota, Viridiplantae, Streptophyta, Magnoliopsida, Fabales, Fabaceae. The record is from the annotation of a GenBank genome assembly.